Molecule: ribosomal RNA, 497 nt
Filed under: uncultured bacterium
Lineage: Bacteria
Description: partial 16S ribosomal RNA
Rfam family: Bacterial small subunit ribosomal RNA
Source: RNAcentral
GAUGAACGCUGGCGGCGUGCCUAAUACAUGCAAGUCGAGCGAACAGACGAGGAGCUUGCUCCUCUGACGUUAGCGGCGGACGGGUGAGUAACACGUGGAUAACCUACCUAUAAGACGGGGAUAACUUCGGGAAACCGGAGCUAAUACCGGAGAAUAUAUUGAACCGCAUGGUUCAAUAGUGAAAGACGGUUUUGCUGUCACUUAUAGAUGGAUCCGCGCCGCAUUAGCUAGUUGGUAAGGUAACGGCUUACCAAGGCGACGAUGCGUAGCCGACCUGAGAGGGUGAUCGGCCACACUGGAACUGAGACACGGUCCAGACUCCUACGGGAGGCAGCAGUAGGGAAUCUGCCGCAAUGGGCGAAAGCCUGACGGAGCAACGCCGCGUGAGUGAUGAAGGUCUUCGGAUCGUAAAGCUCUGUUAUUAGGGAAGAACAAAUGUGUACGUAACUAUGCACGUCUUGACGGUACCUAGUCAGAAAGCCCCGGCUAACUACGUG